CCUCGCUGUUAGCAACUCAAGAUGUGUGCAGAGCACUCAGCCCUCCUGUCUCCUCUGUUUUUCCUCAGAUGUUUAAUUUAAAUAGCCCUUUCUUCUUAUACGGAUCUGGUUCCACAUGUUCCCGUGUUAAAGUCAACAAAAGGUUCUAAAUAAAUCCCUGGUGCAACUGUGAGAGCUUCACUGAACCUGGUGAAAACUGUGCUGAGCUACAGAGUGGUGACUUCAUUGGAAACUGCAGCAGGAGGAGGAAGCUUGGAUGGAAAAAGGAUUUGUGGAAUUCUUUCCAGGUGUUGCUCCUCCCUGAGCUUACAGUUGUUGAAUUUCAAAUAUUGGCAAUCGAUGACAGAGCCUUCAAUUUCUUUUCAAGGAAAAACUAAGUGCAAAGUAAGUUUGGACAAGUGUGUUCAAGAGGAAAGGAGGCUUUUGUAUGAACAAACAAAAUCCCCCUAAAAAAUU
Molecule: long non-coding RNA, 456 nt
Filed under: Cyanistes caeruleus (blue tit)
Lineage: Eukaryota; Metazoa; Chordata; Aves; Passeriformes; Paridae
Description: lncRNA (ENSCCEG00000000977.1)
Source: RNAcentral